Molecule: transfer RNA, 72 nt
Filed under: Microcaldota archaeon
Lineage: Archaea; Nanobdellati; Microcaldota
Description: tRNA-Tyr
Rfam family: tRNA
About the family: Transfer RNA (tRNA) molecules are approximately 80 nucleotides in length. Their secondary structure includes four short double-helical elements and three loops (D, anti-codon, and T loops). Further hydrogen bonds mediate the characteristic L-shaped molecular structure. tRNAs have two regions of fundamental functional importance: the anti-codon, which is responsible for specific mRNA codon recognition, and the 3' end, to which the tRNAs corresponding amino acid is attached (by aminoacyl-tRNA synthetases). tRNAs cope with the degeneracy of the genetic code in two manners: having more than one tRNA (with a specific anti-codon) for a particular amino acid; and 'wobble' base-pairing, i.e. permitting non-standard base-pairing at the 3rd anti-codon position.
Source: RNAcentral
CCCGUUGUAGCUCAAUGGCAGAGCGCCCGCCUGUAGAGCGGGAGGUUGGGUGUUCAACUCACCCCAACGGGA